RNAcentral lists this ribosomal RNA (734 nucleotides) under uncultured Acidobacteriota bacterium. Its description in RNAcentral is "bacterial SSU rRNA". It matches the Rfam family "Bacterial small subunit ribosomal RNA", at positions 9 to 756 of the family's 1533-position model. The record is from RNAcentral. Lineage: Bacteria; Pseudomonadati; Acidobacteriota.
GAGUGGAUAAUGGCUCAGAAUCGACGCUGGGGGCGUGCCUCAGACUUGCAAGUCGAACGAUUAAAGUCCUCUUCGGAGGGUGUAUAAAGUGGCGCACGGGUGAGUAACACGUAAGUAAUCUACCCUCGGGUGGGGAAUAACAACCGGAAACGGUUGCUAAUACCGCAUAAUGCAGCGGCUCCUUAUGGAGACAGUUGUUAAAGGAUUUAUUCGCCUGAGGAGGAGCUUGCGGCAAAUUAGCUAGUUGGUAAGGUAAUGGCUUACCAAGGCGACGAUCUGUAGCCGGUCUAAGAGGACGGUCGGUCACACUGACACUGAAUAACGGGUCAGACUCCUACGGGAGGCAGCAGUCGGGAAUUUUGGGCAAUGGGCGAAAGCCUGACCCAGCAACGCCGCGUGAAGGAUGAAGUAUUUCGGUAUGUAAACUUCGAAAGAAUAGGAAGAAUUAAUGACGGUACUAUUUAUAAGGUCCGGCUAACUACGUGCCAGCAGCCGCGGUAAUACGUAGGGACCAAGCGUUGUUCGGAUUUACUGGGCGUAAAGGGCGCGUAGGCGGCAUGACAAGUCACUUGUGAAAUCUCUGGGCUUAACUCAGAACGGCCAAGUGAUACUGUCGCGCUAGAGUGCAGAAAGGGCAAUCGGAAUUCUUGGCGUAGCGCUGGAAUGCUUAGAUAUCAAGAUGAAACACUGACGCGAACGCGGGUUGCUAGGUGACACUGACCGCUGAGGUACGG